GCAAAGUAGUCUAAUAAGUAAAAAGAUACUAGGUUGUGGUCCAAGAGAUGGUAUUGUAUAACCCCUUUGCUA
Molecule: transfer RNA, 72 nt
Filed under: Venustaconcha ellipsiformis
Lineage: Eukaryota; Metazoa; Mollusca; Bivalvia; Unionida; Unionidae
Description: tRNA-His
Source: RNAcentral